GCUUAUCGUAUGGCUUUCCCUUGUGCUGCGGAUUGUGACCCUGCAAGUGGUUAGGAUGAAUACUUCCUUUCUGUCUGUGUAGUUCAGGAGUUCGUUAUUCACAGAAAGCAGCUCUUUGCUCCUUUUAGGUUUAUUUUUGUACCAGGGCCUUUGGCAAACCUAUGCAAGUCUUCCUGUAGCUGUCACGGUAGUAUACCCCAACACGCAAGAAUAGUCCAACAAGAUACAAGAUACGUCUUACCGGGCCUUAGAAUGGCCGGACUCGAC
Non-coding RNA from Pelobates cultripes (western spadefoot toad), 267 nucleotides. NCBI's taxonomy places the organism in Eukaryota, Metazoa, Chordata, Amphibia, Anura, Pelobatidae. The record is from the annotation of a GenBank genome assembly.